GAUGAACGCUAGCGAUAGGCCUAACACAUGCAAGUCGAGGGGCAUCACAUGAGGCAGCAAUGCCGAUGGUGGCGACCGGCGCACGGGUGAGUAACACGUAUGCAACCUGCCUUCAACAAGGGGAUAACCCGUUGAAAAACGGACUAAUACCCUAUAACACAGGGGUCCCGCAUGGGAAUAUUUGUUAAAGGACAACCGGUUGAAGAUGGGCAUGCGUUCCAUUAGCUAGUUGGCGGGGUAACGGCCCACCAAGGCAACGAUGGAUAGGGGAACUGAGAGGUUUAUCCCCCACACUGGUACUGAGACACGGACCAGACUCCUACGGGAGGCAGCAGUGAGGAAUAUUGGUCAAUGGACGCAAGUCUGAACCAGCCACGUCGCGUGAAGGAAGACGGCCCUACGGGUUGUAAACUUCUUUUAUACGGGAAUAAAGUGCCCCACGCGUGGGGUUUUGCAUGUACCGUAUGAAUAAGGAUCGGCUAACUACGUGCCAGCAGCCGCGGUAAAUACGC
RNAcentral lists this ribosomal RNA (512 nucleotides) under uncultured bacterium. RNAcentral's name for it is "bacterial SSU rRNA". It matches the Rfam family "Bacterial small subunit ribosomal RNA", at positions 28 to 528 of the family's 1533-position model. The record is from RNAcentral.